AUGGUGACGCAACAAAGUAGCGCGAUCGGAGCAUUGGAAAUAGCGGCAGAAUUGGAUGUGCAUGUGCAACAGUGGUACUGCUGGGAUUGGGAAGCCGGUGAUACUCUGAGCAGAUGCGGUUUGCAGCAGCUAUUGGCGGAGUGCGUGCGGUUUCUGCGCGGGUUUCGGCUGAGAAUGGAGGGAAGCGGCGCCAUGUGGAUGUGCAGUUAUGUAGAGGCAGCAUCAUAUAUGACAUUGGUUUGGCAUAUGGUGCAAGACUUUUGGCACAAGUGA
Non-coding RNA from Vicia faba (fava bean), 273 nucleotides. The record is from the annotation of a GenBank genome assembly. Lineage: Eukaryota; Viridiplantae; Streptophyta; Magnoliopsida; Fabales; Fabaceae.